This 253-nucleotide ribosomal RNA is filed under the name uncultured bacterium. RNAcentral's name for it is "partial 16S ribosomal RNA". It matches the Rfam family "Bacterial small subunit ribosomal RNA", at positions 524 to 776 of the family's 1533-position model. The record is from RNAcentral.
UACGUGGGGUGCAAGCAUUAAUCGGAAUUACUGGGCGUAAAGCGUGCGCAGGCGGCCAUGCAAGACAGAUGUGAAAUCCCCGGGCUUAACCUGGGAACUGCAUUUGUGACUGCAUGGCUAGAGUACGGUAGAGGGGGAUGGAAUUCCGCGUGUAGCAGUGAAAUGCGUAGAUAUGCGGAGGAACACCGAUGGCGAAGGCAAUCCCCUGGACCUGUACUGACGCUCAUGCACGAAAGCGUGGGGAGCAAACAGG